This 1291-nucleotide ribosomal RNA is filed under the name uncultured bacterium. RNAcentral's name for it is "bacterial SSU rRNA". It matches the Rfam family "Bacterial small subunit ribosomal RNA", at positions 57 to 1340 of the family's 1533-position model. The record is from RNAcentral.
GCAGUCGAGCGGCAGCGGAAGUAGCUUGCUACUUUGCCGGCGAGCGGCGGACGGGUGAGUAAUGUCUGGGAAACUGCCUGAUGGAGGGGGAUAACUACUGGAAACGGUAGCUAAUACCGCAUAACGUCGCAAGACCAAAGAGGGGGACCUUCGGGCCUCUUGCCAUCAGAUGUGCCCAGAUGGGAUUAGCUAGUAGGUGGGGUAACGGCUCACCUAGGCGACGAUCCCUAGCUGGUCUGAGAGGAUGACCAGCCACACUGGAACUGAGACACGGUCCAGACUCCUACGGGAGGCAGCAGUGGGGAAUAUUGCACAAUGGGCGCAAGCCUGAUGCAGCCAUGCCGCGUGUAUGAAGAAGGCCUUCGGGUUGUAAAGUACUUUCAGCGGGGAGGAAGGCGUUGAGGUUAAUAACCUCAGCGAUUGACGUUACCCGCAGAAGAAGCACCGGCUAACUCCGUGCCAGCAGCCGCGGUAAUACGGAGGGUGCAAGCGUUAAUCGGAAUUACUGGGCGUAAAGCGCACGCAGGCGGUCUGUCAAGUCGGAUGUGAAAUCCCCGGGCUCAACCUGGGAACUGCAUUCGAAACUGGCAGGCUAGAGUCUUGUAGAGGGGGGUAGAAUUCCAGGUGUAGCGGUGAAAUGCGUAGAGAUCUGGAGGAAUACCGGUGGCGAAGGCGGCCCCCUGGACAAAGACUGACGCUCAGGUGCGAAAGCGUGGGGAGCAAACAGGAUUAGAUACCCUGGUAGUCCACGCCGUAAACGAUGUCGACUUGGAGGUUGUGCCCUUGAGGCGUGGCUUCCGGAGCUAACGCGUUAAGUCGACCGCCUGGGGAGUACGGCCGCAAGGUUAAAACUCAAAUGAAUUGACGGGGGCCCGCACAAGCGGUGGAGCAUGUGGUUUAAUUCGAUGCAACGCGAAGAACCUUACCUACUCUUGACAUCCAGAGAACUUUCCAGAGAUGGAUUGGUGCCUUCGGGAACUCUGAGACAGGUGCUGCAUGGCUGUCGUCAGCUCGUGUUGUGAAAUGUUGGGUUAAGUCCCGCAACGAGCGCAACCCUUAUCCUUUGUUGCCAGCGGUUCGGCCGGGAACUCAAAGGAGACUGCCAGUGAUAAACUGGAGGAAGGUGGGGAUAACGUCAAGUCAUCAUGGCCCUUACGAGUAGGGCUACACACGUGCUACAAUGGCGCAUACAAAGAGAAGCGACCUCGCGAGAGCAAGCGGACCUCAUAAAGUGCGUCGUAGUCCGGAUUGGAGUCUGCAACUCGACUCCAUGAAGUCGGAAUCGCUAGUA